AGGACGAACGCUGGCGGCGUGCUUAACACAUGCAAGUCGAGCGGUAAGGCCUUUCGGGGUACACGAGCGGCGAACGGGUGAGUAACACGUGGGUGAUCUGCCCUGCACUUCGGGAUAAGCCUGGGAAACUGGGUCUAAUACCGGAUAUGACCUCCGAUCGCAUGGUGGGUGGUGGAAAGAUUUAUCGGUGCAGGAUGGGCCCGCGGCCUAUCAGCUUGUUGGUGGGGUAAUGGCCUACCAAGGCGACGACGGGUAGCCGACCUGAGAGGGUGACCGGCCACACUGGGACUGAGACACGGCCCAGACUCCUACGGGAGGCAGCAGUGGGGAAUAUUGCACAAUGGGCGAAAGCCUGAUGCAGCGACGCCGCGUGAGGAUGACGGCCUUCGGGUUGUAAACCUCUUUCGAGCGUAGGACGAAGCGACGAAGUGACGGUACCUGCAGAAGAAGCACCGGCUAACGUACGUGCCAGCAGCCGC
This 479-nucleotide ribosomal RNA is filed under the name uncultured soil bacterium. Its description in RNAcentral is "bacterial SSU rRNA". It matches the Rfam family "Bacterial small subunit ribosomal RNA", at positions 26 to 518 of the family's 1533-position model. The record is from RNAcentral.